GAGUUUGAUCAUGGCUCAGAUUGAACGCUGGCGGCAUGCUUUACACAUGCAAGUCGAGCGGCAGCGCGGGGCAACCUGGCGGCGAGCGGCGAACGGGUGAGUAAUGCAUCGGAACAUGUCCAUGUCGUGGGGGAUAGCCCGGCGAAAGCCGGAUUAAUACCGCAUACGCCCGAGAGGGGAAAGUGGGGGACCGCAAGGCCUCACGCGAUUGGGUUGGCCGAUGUCCGAUUAGCUAGUUGGCGGGGUAAUGGCCCACCAAGGCGAUGAUCGGUAGCUGGUCUGAGAGGAUGAUCAGCCACACUGGGACUGAGACACGGCCCAGACUCCUACGGGAGGCAGCAGUGGGGAAUUUUGGACAAUGGGGGCAACCCUGAUCCAGCCAUGCCGCGUGUGUGAAGAAGGCCUUC
This 407-nucleotide ribosomal RNA is filed under the name uncultured beta proteobacterium. RNAcentral's name for it is "bacterial SSU rRNA". It matches the Rfam family "Bacterial small subunit ribosomal RNA", at positions 9 to 419 of the family's 1533-position model. The record is from RNAcentral. Lineage: Bacteria; Pseudomonadati; Pseudomonadota; Betaproteobacteria.